RNAcentral lists this ribosomal RNA (253 nucleotides) under uncultured bacterium. Its description in RNAcentral is "partial 16S ribosomal RNA". It matches the Rfam family "Bacterial small subunit ribosomal RNA", at positions 524 to 776 of the family's 1533-position model. The record is from RNAcentral.
UACAGAGGAGCCAAGCGUUGUCCGGAUUGACUGGGCGUAAAGCGCACGCAGGCGGACGCGCGCGUGGGGUGUGAAAUCUGGCCGCUUAACGGCCAGGCGCCAUCCCAUACGGCGCGUCUGGAGUGAUGCAGAGGUCGGUGGAAUUGCCGGUGUAGUGGUGAAAUGCGUAGAGAUCGGCAGGAACACCCAGGGGGAAACCAGCCGACUGGGCAUCUACUGACGCUGAGGUGCGAGAGCGUGGGGAGCGGACCGG